Molecule: ribosomal RNA, 83 nt
Filed under: Megasphaera paucivorans
Lineage: Bacteria; Bacillati; Bacillota; Negativicutes; Veillonellales; Veillonellaceae
Description: 23S rRNA. Bacterial LSU
Source: RNAcentral
GAGACGAUGUGGUUGAUAGGCCGGGAGUGGAAGUACAGUGAUGUAUGGAGCGGACCGGUACUAAUAGACCGAGGACUUGACUU